ACUGGCGGCGUGCUUACCAUGCAAGUCGAACGAUGAAGCCCUUCGGGGUGGAUUAGUGGCGAACGGGUGAGUAACACGUGGGCAAUCUGCCCUUCACUCUGGGACAAGCCCUGGAAACGGGGUCUAAUACCGGAUAACACCGGCUUCCGCAUGGGAGCUGGUUGAAAGCUCCGGCGGUGAAGGAUGAGCCCGCGGCCUAUCAGCUUGUUGGUGGGGUAAUGGCCUACCAAGGCGACGACGGGUAGCCGGCCUGAGAGGGCGACCGGCCACACUGGGACUGAGACACGGCCCAGACUCCUACGGGAGGCAGCAGUGGGGAAUAUUGCACAAUGGGCGAAAGCCUGAUGCAGCGACGCCGCGUGAGGGAUGACGGCCUUCGGGUUGUAAACCUCUUUCAGCAGGGAAGAAGCGAAAGUGACGGUACCUGCAGAAGAAGCGCCGGCUAACUACGUGCCAGCAGCCGCGGUAAUACGUAGGGCGCAAGCGUUGUCCGGAAUUAUUGGGCGUAAAGAGCUCGUAGGCGGCUUGUCACGUCGGGUGUGAAAGCCCGGGGCUUAACCCCGGGUCUGCAUCCGAUACGGGCAGGCUAGAGUGUGGUAGGGGAGAUCGGAAUUCCUGGUGUAGCGGUGAAAUGCGCAGAUAUCAGGAGGAACACCGGUGGCGAAGGCGGAUCUCUGGGCCAUUACUGACGCUGAGGAGCGAAAGCGUGGGGAGCGAACAGGAUUAGAUACCCUGGUAGUCCACGCCGUAAACGUUGGGAACUAGGUGUUGGCGACAUUCCACGUCGUCGGUGCCGCAGCUAACGCAUUAAGUUCCCCGCCUGGGGAGUACGGCCGCAAGGCUAAAACUCAAAGGAAUUGACGGGGG
Molecule: ribosomal RNA, 867 nt
Filed under: Streptomyces sp. Soy 1
Lineage: Bacteria; Bacillati; Actinomycetota; Actinomycetes; Kitasatosporales; Streptomycetaceae
Description: bacterial SSU rRNA
Rfam family: Bacterial small subunit ribosomal RNA
Source: RNAcentral